Molecule: long non-coding RNA, 381 nt
Filed under: Coffea arabica (coffee)
Lineage: Eukaryota; Viridiplantae; Streptophyta; Magnoliopsida; Gentianales; Rubiaceae
Description: long non-coding RNA (CARA_LNC005567)
Source: RNAcentral
CUUGGGAGAAGGCUAGAGAAACUCACCAGAAAUGUAGUUUUCACUAGAGUUUCCUUGGUUCAUUAGUAUAGUAUAGGUAGAGUAGUUUAUCCAUCUUGUAUUUGUAGUUAGAUUUGGAUGAAGAUUGGAGGAGCAAAGAUGAAGAGGUCGAUCUCAUGUGACAAGGGUGAUAUCUCUUCUACUACUUUCUCUCUUGUAUUGGAUUUCAUGUUUAAUUAUAAUACAAGUUGGCUUUGUGUUUUUAUUAUGUUUAGUUAAAAUUUAUGCCUAGAGUUAUGGUUGAACUUGCUAUAUUUUGUUUGUGAGGUUUACUUGGCUAUUUGAUGAUAUUAUUUUGAGUACAUUAUUUAUCACUUUUGAUUAUCUAAUCAUGAUUAACUG